AAUUACUUAAUGUAGAAUAACAUUGUAGGGUAGGUGUGAGAGCCUGGAUCUGGUCAGUUUGAACAUAAAACAGAUUAAAUAUUUUGGCCGGAUAUGACCGGUUUAAAUACUAAAGGGUUAAAUAUAUUCUUCCUUUGAUUUAGGAAGGGAGACUGUGAAUCGAGGAAAGAAAUUGGCUUCUAUUUCUAGAGACUGCAGCAUGUAUGUAGUUGGUGCUUGACCCUUAAAUGUAAUGUUGCAGAUACAGAUUAUCCCUUAAGCAUUAUAUCUGUAUUUAUAAAAUGAUAAAUAAAAGGGACAAGUGGUUUGGAUAUUUAAAAUAUACGGAUGAGAGUGGCAAAAGUUGAGAGAUUGGAAUCAAUGCGUCAGGCAUUGACCAGGAAGGAUAGAUUUGAUUUCAUUGAUUCUUUUAGUUUUGUAGUAGUUUCUCAUUUGACACACACGCAUACACACACACAGUUGUUAGAAUAUAUUGUAAUUAUAAAAUGAAAAUUUUUUUUUUUUUUUAAGCUGUAAAGCUGAAACUGCCAUCUUGUUUUUUUUUUUUAACAUUCUUGAGUUAUUUUGACUGUUGUUUUGAAAGUGAAGUGUUGUUCAUUUUCAUUUUCUGCUGAGAACAUAAGUCUGAAACCCCGUCAUAGUUCUUCCCAUAUCAACAUCACUUUAUCUCUCUCAUACUGGGCGACUCCAACCACUUUGUCAUAUUCUCCAAACACCACUCCCCCCCUGGCAAAAGAUGGAGUUUAUUACAGUCGUAACUUCAAUGUUUAAUGGGGGGGGGUUUAUAAUCUGUCUUAUUGUUUGAGAUGGUAACUACAUAUGUGUGUGUGUGUCUUCAUUAUCCUUUCCAACGUUUCCUUAGCAACAGUAUUAGUGAGUAGGGGCUUGAAGCAUGUGUGUGUGUGUGUGUGUGUGUGUGAAAUAAAAUGGAAAAUCUUUAAAGUGUUUGACAGAAUGUCAUUGUUUUACUGUCUGAGAGAAAAAUGUCAGAUGUGAGUCAAUAUACUUUUUCUCUUAAAGAAGCCACUUUUCUACAUUUUGAGAGGUAAUGGAUGGCUUGAGG
Long non-coding RNA from Octopus sinensis (East Asian common octopus), 1063 nucleotides. RefSeq lists it as uncharacterized. The record is from RefSeq and is a predicted model, not a curated record. The transcript has 2 exons. Lineage: Eukaryota; Metazoa; Mollusca; Cephalopoda; Octopoda; Octopodidae.